UACGUAGGGUGCAAGCGUUAAUCGGAAUCACUGGGCGUAAAGGGUGCGCAGGUUGUUUAGAAAGAAAGAUGUGAAAUCCCAAAGCUUAACUUUGGAACUGCAUCUUUUACUACUAGACUAGAGUUUAUCAGAGGGAGGAGGAAUUCCAUGUGUAGCAGUGAAAUGCGUAGAUAUAUGGAAGAACACCAAAGGCGAAGGCAACCUCCUGGGGUACAACUGACACUAAGGCACUAAAGCAUGGGGAGCAAACAGG
RNAcentral lists this ribosomal RNA (253 nucleotides) under uncultured bacterium. Its description in RNAcentral is "partial 16S ribosomal RNA". It matches the Rfam family "Bacterial small subunit ribosomal RNA", at positions 524 to 776 of the family's 1533-position model. The record is from RNAcentral.